CGCGUAGGCGGAAGUGAAAGUCAGAUGUGAAAGCCCGAAGCUCAACUUCGGAACUGCAUCCGAAACUUCAUUUCUCGAGGGUAGACGGAGAAGACGGAAUUCCACGAGUAGCGGUGAGAUGCGUAGAUACGUGGAAGAACACCGGUGGCGAAGGCGGUCUUCUAGUUUAUUCCUGACGCUGAGGCGCGAAAGCAAGGGUAGCAAACAGGAUUAGAUACCCUGGUAGUCC
Molecule: ribosomal RNA, 229 nt
Filed under: uncultured bacterium
Lineage: Bacteria
Description: partial 16S ribosomal RNA
Rfam family: Bacterial small subunit ribosomal RNA
Source: RNAcentral